This 196-nucleotide small nucleolar RNA is filed under the name Castor canadensis (American beaver). RNAcentral's name for it is "Small nucleolar RNA SNORA73 family (ENSCCNG00000016809.1)". It matches the Rfam family "Small nucleolar RNA SNORA73 family". Rfam says of the family: U17 (SNORA73A and SNORA73B) also known as E1 belongs to the H/ACA class of small nucleolar RNAs (snoRNAs). Vertebrate U17 is intron-encoded and ranges in length from 200-230 nucleotides, longer than most snoRNAs. The record is from Rfam by way of RNAcentral. Lineage: Eukaryota; Metazoa; Chordata; Mammalia; Rodentia; Castoridae.
CCAAAUGGAUACUCUGGAGGUCACUCUCCAGGCUCUGUCCAAGUUGUAUCCAGAUGAUAGGACUGCUUCAUGAGGUACAGUCCCUUUCCACAAUGUUGGAAAAGAGGCUGGGCCUUACAUCUGGGCCUGCAUAGUCCCAUGACUUUCAGAGUCCUGUGGGCAAUAACUGAGGAGACAAACCAUGCAGGAAACAAUG